RNAcentral lists this ribosomal RNA (490 nucleotides) under uncultured bacterium. RNAcentral describes it as "partial 16S ribosomal RNA". It matches the Rfam family "Bacterial small subunit ribosomal RNA", at positions 30 to 507 of the family's 1533-position model. The record is from RNAcentral.
AUUGAACGCUGGCGGCAGGCCUAACACAUGCAAGUCGAACGGUAACAGGAAGAUGCUUGCUUCUUUGCUGACGAGUGGCGGACGGGUGAGUAAUGUCUGGGAAACUGCCUGAUGGAGGGGGUUAACUACUGGAAACGGUAGCUAAGACCGCAUAACGUCGCAAGACCAAAGAGGGGGACCUUCUGGCCUCUUGCCAUCGGAUGUGCCCAGAUGGGAUUAGCUAGUAGGUGGGGUAACGGCUCACCUAGGCGACGAUCCCUAGCUGGUCUGAGAGGAUGACCAGCCACACUGGAACUGAGACACGGUCCAGACUCCUACGGGAGGCAGCAGUGGGGAAUAUUGCACAAUGGGCGCAAGCCUGAUGCAGCCAUGCCGCGUGGAUGAAGAAGGCCUUCGGGUUGUAAAGUACUUUCAGCGGGGAGGAAGGGAGUAAAGUUAAUACCUGUGCUGAUUGACGUUACCCGCAGAAGAAGCACCGGCUAACUCCGUG